RNAcentral lists this ribosomal RNA (1350 nucleotides) under Citrobacter koseri. RNAcentral describes it as "bacterial SSU rRNA". It matches the Rfam family "Bacterial small subunit ribosomal RNA", at positions 111 to 1458 of the family's 1533-position model. Lineage: Bacteria; Pseudomonadati; Pseudomonadota; Gammaproteobacteria; Enterobacterales; Enterobacteriaceae. The record is from RNAcentral.
UAAUGUCUGGGAAACUGCCUGAUGGAGGGGGAUAACUACUGGAAACGGUAGCUAAUACCGCAUAACGUCGCAAGACCAAAGAGGGGGACCUUCGGGCCUCUUGCCAUCAGAUGUGCCCAGAUGGGAUUAGCUUGUUGGUGGGGUAACGGCUCACCAAGGCGACGAUCCCUAGCUGGUCUGAGAGGAUGACCAGCCACACUGGAACUGAGACACGGUCCAGACUCCUACGGGAGGCAGCAGUGGGGAAUAUUGCACAAUGGGCGCAAGCCUGAUGCAGCCAUGCCGCGUGUAUGAAGAAGGCCUUCGGGUUGUAAAGUACUUUCAGCGGGGAGGAAGGUGUUGUGGUUAAUAACCGCAGCAAUUGACGUUACCCGCAGAAGAAGCACCGGCUAACUCCGUGCCAGCAGCCGCGGUAAUACGGAGGGUGCAAGCGUUAAUCGGAAUUACUGGGCGUAAAGCGCACGCAGGCGGUCUGUUAAGUCAGAUGUGAAAUCCCCGGGCUCAACCUGGGAACUGCAUCUGAUACUGGCAGGCUUGAGUCUCGUAGAGGGGGGUAGAAUUCCAGGUGUAGCGGUGAAAUGCGUAGAGAUCUGGAGGAAUACCGGUGGCGAAGGCGGCCCCCUGGACGAAGACUGACGCUCAGGUGCGAAAGCGUGGGGAGCAAACAGGAUUAGAUACCCUGGUAGUCCACGCCGUAAACGAUGUCGACUUGGAGGUUGUGCCCUUGAGGCGUGGCUUCCGGAGCUAACGCGUUAAGUCGACCGCCUGGGGAGUACGGCCGCAAGGUUAAAACUCAAAUGAAUUGACGGGGGCCCGCACAAGCGGUGGAGCAUGUGGUUUAAUUCGAUGCAACGCGAAGAACCUUACCUGGUCUUGACAUCCACGGAAGGUCUCAGAGAUGAGACUGUGCCUUCGGGAGCCGUGAGACAGGUGCUGCAUGGCUGUCGUCAGCUCGUGUUGUGAAAUGUUGGGUUAAGUCCCGCAACGAGCGCAACCCUUAUCCUUUGUUGCCAGCGGUUAGGCCGGGAACUCAAAGGAGACUGCCAGUGAUAAACUGGAGGAAGGUGGGGAUGACGUCRAGUCAUCAUGGCCCUUACGACCAGGGCUACACACGUGCUACAAUGGCAUAUACAAAGAGAAGCGACCUCGCGAGAGCAAGCGGACCUCAUAAAGUAUGUCGUAGUCCGGAUUGGAGUCUGCAACUCGACUCCAUGAAGUCGGAAUCGCUAGUAAUCGUGGAUCAGAAUGCCACGGUGAAUACGUUCCCGGGCCUUGUACACACCGCCCGUCACACCAUGGGAGUGGGUUGCAAAAGAAGUAGGUAGCUUAACCUUCGGGAGGGCGCUUACC